Molecule: ribosomal RNA, 440 nt
Filed under: uncultured bacterium
Lineage: Bacteria
Description: partial 16S ribosomal RNA
Rfam family: Bacterial small subunit ribosomal RNA
Source: RNAcentral
CCUACGGGUGGCAGCAGUGGGGAAUAUUGCACAAUGGGGGAAACCCUGAUGCAGCGACGCCGCGUGAGUGAAGAAGUAUUUCGGUACGUAAAGCUCUAUCAGCAGGGAAGAAAAUGACGGUACCUGACUAAGAAGCCACGGCUAACUACGUGCCAGCAGCCGCGGUAAUACGUAGGGGGCAAGCGUUAUACGGAUUUACUGGGUGUAAAGGGAGCGUAGACGGCAGCGCAAGUCUGGAGUGAAAUCCCAUGGCUUAACCAUGGAACUGCUUUGGAAACUGUGCAGCUAGAGUGCAGGAGAGGUAAGCGGAAUUCCUAGUGUAGCGGUGAAAUGCGUAGAUAUUAGGAGGAACACCAGUGGCGAAGGCGGCUUACUGGACUGUAACUGACGUUGAGGCUCGAAAGCGUGGGGAGCAAACAGGAUUAGAUACCCCGGUAGUC